AGGAUAAACGCUGGCGGCGUGCCUAACACAUGCAAGUCGAACGCCCUUUUGCUCGCAAGAGCCAGAGGGAGUGGCGGACGGGUGAGUAACACAUGGGUAACCUACCCCCCAGUGAGGAAUACCGGCGAGAAAUCGCCGACAAGACCGCAUAGGCUCGGUCCGGUGAAGCGGAGCGAGCAAAGUCUCUUUUUUGAGAAAGAGGGAGACGCUGAGGGAUGGGCCUGUGGCCGAUUAGCUAGUUGGUAAGGUAAAGGCUCACCAAGGCGACGACGGGUA
Molecule: ribosomal RNA, 276 nt
Filed under: uncultured bacterium
Lineage: Bacteria
Description: partial small subunit ribosomal RNA
Rfam family: Bacterial small subunit ribosomal RNA
Source: RNAcentral